UCAGACGAUGCGUCAUGCAUAUCAAUAAGCGGAGGAAAAGAAACUAACAAGGAUUCCCCUAGUAACGGCGAGUGAAGCGGGAAGAGCUCAAAUUUGAAAUCUUAAAGGGUUUCCCUUUACGAAUUGUAGUUUAAAGAAGUGUUUUCUGUUGAGGUUUUGGUAAAAGUUCUUUGGAAUAGGACAUCAUAGAGGGUGAGAAUCCCGUAUUUGACCUUUACUUUCAACUUUGUGAUACACUUUCAAAGAGUCGGAUUGUUUGGGAAUGCAGUCCAAAAUGGGUGGUAAAUUUCAUCUAAAGCUAAAUAUUGGCGAGAGACCGAUAGCGAACAAGUACCGUGAGGGAAAGAUGAAAAGAACUUUGAAAAGAGAGUUAAACAGUACGUGAAAUUGUCAAAAGGGAAGCGUUUGACACCAGUGUUGUUUUUCUGAAAAUCAAUUAAAGAACUGUUUAUGCUAAGUUGUUUAGGACUUUAUCAGCUAUCUGCUUAGUUUUGAGCUUUUCUUUAAUGCACUUUUCAGUUAACAAGUCAACAUCAAUUUCUUUUGCUGUAAAAAAGCUUGAGGAAGGUGGCUUGAGAUUCGUCUUAAGUGUUUAUAGCCUCUUGCCUAUGCAGUCGGAGAGAUUGAGGUCUGCAGCGUAGAUCCUUCGGGGCUAAAUGCAUUUGUGCUAAGUUAUAGCAUUUUAUAGACAACUUGUUGACUAUGAUUUGUCUUGUAGCUUACUCGCUUAUGUUAUUUUACCUACGCUUAGGAUGUUGACACACGCGCGUGCUCG
RNAcentral lists this ribosomal RNA (775 nucleotides) under uncultured Neocallimastigales. RNAcentral describes it as "partial large subunit ribosomal RNA". It matches the Rfam family "Eukaryotic large subunit ribosomal RNA", at positions 18 to 656 of the family's 3401-position model. The record is from RNAcentral. Lineage: Eukaryota; Fungi; Neocallimastigomycota; Neocallimastigomycetes; Neocallimastigales.